Molecule: ribosomal RNA, 494 nt
Filed under: uncultured bacterium
Lineage: Bacteria
Description: partial 16S ribosomal RNA
Rfam family: Bacterial small subunit ribosomal RNA
Source: RNAcentral
GACGAACGCUGGCGGCGUGCUUAACACAUGCAAGUCGAACGGUGAAGCGCCUUCCUUUUUGGUGGGUGUGGAUGAGUGGCGAACGGGUGAGUAACACGUGAGUAACCUGCCCCCUUCUUCUGGAUAACCGCAUGAAAGUGUGGCUAAUACGGGAUAUUCUGGGUCUGUCGCAUGAUGGGUCUGGGAAAGAUAUUGCUUCUGUGGGGGAUGGGCUCGCGGCCUAUCAGCUUGUUGGUGAGGUGAUGGCCUACCAAGGCGGUGACGGGUAGCCGGCCUGAGAGGGUGGACGGUCACACUGGGACUGAGACACGGCGCAGACUCCUACGGGAGGCAGCAGUGGGGAAUAGUGCACAGUGGGCGCAAGCCUGAUGCAGCGACGCCGCGUGAGGGAUGGAGGCCUUCGGGUUGUGAACCUCUUUCGCCAGUGAAGCAGGCCUGCCUCGUUUGUGGGUGGGUUGACGGUAGCUGGAUAAGAAGCGCCGGCUAACUACGUG